This is a long non-coding RNA of Medicago truncatula (barrel medic), 239 nucleotides long. RefSeq lists it as uncharacterized. The transcript has 3 exons. NCBI's taxonomy places the organism in Eukaryota, Viridiplantae, Streptophyta, Magnoliopsida, Fabales, Fabaceae. The record is from RefSeq and is a predicted model, not a curated record.
UUUUGUGUGACUCAGAUUCUUGAAGCACCAAAUGAGGAAGAAAUUUCACUACUUUCAGAGAUAUAUGGGCUCUGCAUUAAAGGAGGUAAGGAAGAACAAACAGCCUUAUUAUCCAGUGUGCAAGAGUUAGCAAAAGCAUUUUCUGGAUAUGAAGAUGAAGUACUCACGAAACGAGAAGAAUUACUUCAAUAUGUCCAAGCUUCAAUUUCAGGGCUGAAAGUAAAUGCGGAUCUCAUGAG